UACGUAGGUGGCAAGCGUUGUCCGGAAUUAUUGGGCGUAAAGAGCUCGUAGGCGGCCUGUCGCGUCCGCUGUGAAAUCCCGGGGCUUAACCCCGGGCGUGCAGUGGAUACGGGCUGGCUGGAGGCAGGCAGGGGAGAACGGAAUUCCCGGUGUAGAGGUGAAAUUCGUAGAUAUUGGGAAGAACACCGGUGGCGAAGGCGGCUCUCUGGACCGUAACUGACGCUGAGGCGCGAAAGCGUGGGGAGCAAAACAGG
Molecule: ribosomal RNA, 254 nt
Filed under: uncultured bacterium
Lineage: Bacteria
Description: partial 16S ribosomal RNA
Rfam family: Bacterial small subunit ribosomal RNA
Source: RNAcentral